RNAcentral lists this ribosomal RNA (216 nucleotides) under Pichia kudriavzevii. Its description in RNAcentral is "partial 26S ribosomal RNA". It matches the Rfam family "Eukaryotic large subunit ribosomal RNA", at positions 56 to 281 of the family's 3401-position model. Lineage: Eukaryota; Fungi; Ascomycota; Pichiomycetes; Pichiales; Pichiaceae. The record is from RNAcentral.
GGGGGCCUCGGGCAUUGCCUCAGUAGCGGCGAGUGAAGCGGCAAGAGCUCAGAUUUGAAAUCGUGCUUUGCGGCACGAGUUGUAGAUUGCAGGUUGGAGUCUGUGUGGAAGGCGGUGUCCAAGUCCCUUGGAACAGGGCGCCCAGGAGGGUGAGAGCCCCGUGGGAUGCCGGCGGAAGCAGUGAGGCCCUUCUGACGAGUCGAGUUGUUUGGGAAU